CACGUUAUGGUGGGCACUCUAAGGAGACUGCCGGUGACAACCGAGGAAGGUGGGGAUGACGUCAAGUCAUCAUGGCCCUUACGGCCUGGGCUACACACGUGCUACAAUGGUCGGUACAAAGGGUUGCCAAGCCGCGAGGUGGAGCUAAUCCCAUAAAACCGAUCGUAGUCCGGAUCGCAGUCUGCAACUCGACUGCGUGAAGUCGGAAUCGCUAGUAAUCGUGAAUCAGAAUGUCACGGUGAAUACGUUCCCGGGCCUU
RNAcentral lists this ribosomal RNA (259 nucleotides) under uncultured Pseudomonas sp. RNAcentral's name for it is "partial 16S ribosomal RNA". It matches the Rfam family "Bacterial small subunit ribosomal RNA", at positions 1122 to 1382 of the family's 1533-position model. Lineage: Bacteria; Pseudomonadati; Pseudomonadota; Gammaproteobacteria; Pseudomonadales; Pseudomonadaceae. The record is from RNAcentral.